Molecule: ribosomal RNA, 468 nt
Filed under: uncultured bacterium
Lineage: Bacteria
Description: partial 16S ribosomal RNA
Rfam family: Bacterial small subunit ribosomal RNA
Source: RNAcentral
GACGAACGCUGGCGGCGUGCUUAACACAUGCAAGUCGAACGGAAAGGCCAUGCUUUUGCGGGGUGCUCGAGUGGCGAACGGGUGAGUAACACGUGAGUAACCUGCCCUUGACUUUGGGAUAACUUCAGGAAACUGGGGCGAAUAUCGGAUAGGAGCUCCUGCUGCAUGGUGGGGGUUGGAAAGUUUCGGCGGUUGGGGAUGGACUCGCGGCUUAUCAGCUUGUUGGUGGGGUAGUGGCUUACCAGGGCUUUGACGGGUAGCCGGCCUGAGAGGGUGACCGGCCACAUUGGGACUGAGAUACGGCCCAGACGCCUACGGGAGGCAGCAGUGGGGAAUAUUGCACAAUGGGGGGAAGCCUGAUGCAGCAACGCCGCGUGCGGGAUGACGGCCUUCGGGUUGUAAACCGCUUUCGCCUGUGACGAAGCGUGAGUGACGGUAAUGGGUAAAGAAGCACCGGCUAACUACGUG